RNAcentral lists this ribosomal RNA (650 nucleotides) under uncultured Bacillus sp. RNAcentral describes it as "bacterial SSU rRNA". It matches the Rfam family "Bacterial small subunit ribosomal RNA", at positions 669 to 1319 of the family's 1533-position model. Lineage: Bacteria; Bacillati; Bacillota; Bacilli; Caryophanales; Bacillaceae. The record is from RNAcentral.
CCACGUGUAGCGGUGAAAUGCGUAGAGAUGUGGAGGAACACCAGUGGCGAAGGCGACUCUCUGGUCUGUAACUGACGCUGAGGCGCGAAAGCGUGGGGAGCGAACAGGAUUAGAUACCCUGGUAGUCCACGCCGUAAACGAUGAGUGCUAAGUGUUAGAGGGUUUCCGCCCUUUAGUGCUGCAGCAAACGCAUUAAGCACUCCGCCUGGGGAGUACGGUCGCAAGACUGAAACUCAAAGGAAUUGACGGGGGCCCGCACAAGCGGUGGAGCAUGUGGUUUAAUUCGAAGCAACGCGAAGAACCUUACCAGGUCUUGACAUCCUCUGACAACCCUAGAGAUAGGGCUUCCCCUUCGGGGGCAGAGUGACAGGUGGUGCAUGGUUGUCGUCAGCUCGUGUCGUGAGAUGUUGGGUUAAGUCCCGCAACGAGCGCAACCCUUGAUCUUAGUUGCCAGCAUUCAGUUGGGCACUCUAAGGUGACUGCCGGUGACAAACCGGAGGAAGGUGGGGAUGACGUCAAAUCAUCAUGCCCCUUAUGACCUGGGCUACACACGUGCUACAAUGGGCAGAACAAAGGGCAGCGAAGCCGCGAGGCUAAGCCAAUCCCACAAAUCUGUUCUCAGUUCGGAUCGCAGUCUGCAACUCGACUGC